CCCGCCCCGCCACCCGAGAAGGAGUCUCAGCCUGUCGCUCAGGCUGAAUUGCAGUGGCGCGAUCUCGGCUCACUGCAACCUCCGCCUACUGGGUUUAAGCAAUUCCCCUGCCUCAUCUUCCCGAGUAGCUGGGACUACAGGCGUGCGCCACCAUGCUUGGCUAAUUUUUUUUUUUUUGUAUUUUUGGUAGAGUUGGGGUUUCACCAUGUUGGCCAGGCUGGUCUCGAACUCCUGACCUCAUGAUCCGUCUGCCUCGGCUUCCCAAAGUGCUAGGAUGACAGGCGUGAGCCACCGCGCCCGGCCAGUGUGUGAUGUUUCUAUGCCUG
RNAcentral lists this long non-coding RNA (326 nucleotides) under Homo sapiens (human). RNAcentral describes it as "HSALNT0067810". Lineage: Eukaryota; Metazoa; Chordata; Mammalia; Primates; Hominidae. The record is from RNAcentral.